AGCAGCCGCGGUAAUUCCAGCUCCAAUAGCGUAUAUUAAAGUUGUUGCAGUUAAAAAGCUCGUAGUUGAAUUUCGGGAUUGACACAUCGGUCGUGCCUUAAGGGGUAUGAACUGGUGUAGUCAGUUUCUCACCUUCUGGAGAACCGCGAUGUCCUUAAUUGGGUGCCGCGAGGAACCAGGACCUUUACUUUGAAAAAAUUAGAGUGUUUAAAGCAGGCAUUUUGCUUGAAUACAUUAGCAUGGAAUAAUAAAAUAGGACGGAUGGUUCUAUUUUGUUGGUUUCUAGGAUCACCGUAACGAUUAAUAGGGAUAGUUGGGGGCAUUAGUAUUCAAUUGUCAGAGGUGAAAUUCUUGGAUUUAUUGAAGACUAACUACUGCGAAAGCAUUUGCCAAGGAUGUUUUCAUUAAUCAAGAACGAAAGUUAGGGGAUCGAAGACGAUCAGAUACCGUCGUAGUCUUAACCAUAAACUAUGCCGACUAGGAAUCAGACGAUGUUAAUUUUUUAAUGACUCG
This 513-nucleotide ribosomal RNA is filed under the name uncultured glomeraceous AM fungus. RNAcentral's name for it is "SSU rRNA". It matches the Rfam family "Eukaryotic small subunit ribosomal RNA", at positions 569 to 1078 of the family's 1831-position model. The record is from RNAcentral. Lineage: Eukaryota; Fungi; Glomeromycota; Glomeromycetes; Glomerales; Glomeraceae.